Gasterosteus aculeatus aculeatus (three-spined stickleback) is the source of this 1795-nucleotide long non-coding RNA. The record is from Ensembl. NCBI's taxonomy places the organism in Eukaryota, Metazoa, Chordata, Actinopteri, Perciformes, Gasterosteidae.
GUCCCAUUUUAUUUGAAUAACCCUCCACAACAAAAAAACAUUUAAACAGCUGUCUUGCUAAAAUUAAUUUAUAAACUUAUUAAAUUAUUUUGGGCUCAGGUAAAAAAAAAAAAAAAUCUGCAAGAAUUGUGGCUUUUCCCCCGGUUUCGGUGUGUGCAGCUCGCGCAGAGAGGAAGUGGAGUUUGUCGUUACGUUGAGAGCAAAGUGGGCAGAGCCGCCGCUGAAGGAUAUCAGCUCGGGCGGGAGGGAGAGAGGAGGACACACGCCACAGAGGAGCCAGGCGUCGAGGACGCGCAGCGCGCAGCGAGCAGAGAGGCGCAGAGAAUGCGGCCCGGCGAGACGACGAAAAACGCCCGAAAAUGCCGAGGAAGACGGGGGAGACGACGGCGGGUCGAACCAGCCUGAAGGAAAACGGGAAUUCCCUUGACGUUUAGACAAAGGAGAAAAGGGAUCAUCUAAUCCACGCUAAAUGGGGUUGACAUUUAACCACAAAGGAGCGAUGAGUGGAAGGAUACUGGAGAUUCGUACUGCAACUCAGAUUUACGUGAAUAUGGGGGUGAAGAUUUUCAAAUUUUGAAGACAAAGAAGACUGUGCUACGCCAGGAAACUGGAUAUUGCUGAAGUGGCGACAACGUUGUUUAACGUGAAGAUGGAACCUUUUUUUUUCCUUUUUGCAGUAAACCAAACGUUUACGGGAUGCAACCAUCCUUUUUUUUGACUGGACUUUGCCAUUUGGAUUUUUUCAUUUUUGAGAACAGGGAGACUGGAACAAAGUUGGUGGCUGUUUGGUGCACUUGAACAAUUGGUUAUUUUUUCGGGAGAACACAAAAUCAGCCUUUGUACAUUUGAUUUCGCAAAUGUUUUUAAAUAAAGUGUAUGCAAUUGCAUUUUUCCCUGGCUUUGUUUCAAUAACUAACGGUACAGAAAAUCACAAUGGGAUAUUGAGCGUAACAUUUUAAUAACGGUCCUUUUAGCUCGGCUGUUUUCAACAUUCCGCUAUUUCGUAAAACCAAUGAACUUGGUUAGCACUGGCUUUGUUUCAGCCAGUCAUCAAUGGAUGCUAAUUUCGGUGAGCGUCGUACUGGGUCGACGAAUCUCCUGAAGUACAGCCCUCUUGAUUCAGGAGGCUCUUUGUUUCUACAAAAUUAUUAAGAUUAAAGAAGAUUGUGUGAAAUGUGUUGAUUCCAAUCAGUCUCACUGGAAACCGCUUAAUCCAUUAAAACCGCUGAACACCAACAUUCAAUAUGGUAUUUGCCGAAUGGCAACAAAGGGUUUGGCUUGAAAAGAAAUGUUUUCCAAGGGCUCUCCAAAUGGCUCCUGGUUGUCCUCCUUCCGGUCUGAGCAGGAAGUGAUGCAAUUGGUGCAACCCAAUUUAUAUACUUAUAAAACCCCUCAGUUGUCCUACAAGUUUUUUGUAAUGAAGUAGGAAGUAAGAUUUCAACCUCAGUUCUUGGCCUUUUUUUAAAAAGACGAUUGAUAUAAAAGCACAUUUUUAAACACAAUAAAAGGGGUGGGACUUAACCAUCACCUGAGUGUUGGGGUUAAUGGAAAUAACGUCAAUCAAAGGCGAAGCUUUCAGAGCUAGGAAGGAGCUCUAGAUGGCGGCUGAGCCUUGGGAAGGGUGCCAUGGACUUUCGUCAGACCGUUUCUCUGCUCCGUUUUUCGACGGAGACCGCGCGAUUUUGACAAAAAAUUAAAGCGCCCCGGUCGUUCUGUCGGUGUUUUAUCGAGCGUUUGGCCAUUUUCGCCUGUUUUUCGGGGCCGGUUCAGUCGAGCCGCGCGGAGGGGAGAGCUC